RNAcentral lists this transfer RNA (69 nucleotides) under Ephemerella sp. MT-2014. RNAcentral describes it as "tRNA-Gln". Lineage: Eukaryota; Metazoa; Arthropoda; Insecta; Ephemeroptera; Ephemerellidae. The record is from RNAcentral.
UACUUAUUGGUGUAAGAUGCACGAAAGUUUUUGAUACUUGAGGAUAUAGUUUAAUUCUAUCAUAAGUAA